This 622-nucleotide ribosomal RNA is filed under the name Cortinarius obtusus. RNAcentral's name for it is "eukaryotic LSU rRNA". It matches the Rfam family "Eukaryotic large subunit ribosomal RNA", at positions 1 to 616 of the family's 3401-position model. The record is from RNAcentral. Lineage: Eukaryota; Fungi; Basidiomycota; Agaricomycetes; Agaricales; Cortinariaceae.
GACCUCAAAUCAGGUAGGACUACCCGCUGAACUUAAGCAUAUCAAUAAGCGGAGGAAAAGAAACUAACAAGGAUUCCCCUAGUAACUGCGAGUGAAGCGGGAAAAGCUCAAAUUUAAAAUCUGGCGGUCUUUUGGCUGUCCGAGUUGUAAUCUAGAGAAGUGUUAUCCGCGCUGGACCGUGUACAAGUCUCCUGGAAUGGAGCAUCAUAGAGGGUGAGAAUCCCGUCUUUGACAUGGACUGCCAGGGCUUUGUGAUGCGCUCUCAAAGAGUCGAGUUGUUUGGGAAUGCAGCUCAAAAUGGGUGGUAAAUUCCAUCUAAAGCUAAAUAUUGGCGAGAGACCGAUAGCGAACAAGUACCGUGAGGGAAAGAUGAAAAGAACUUUGGAAAGAGAGUUAAACAGUACGUGAAAUUGCUGAAAGGGAAACGCUUGAAGUCAGUCGCGUUGUCCAGAGAUCAACCUUGCUUUUGCUUGGUGCACUUUCUGGUUCARCGGGUCAGCAUCAAUUUUGACUAUUGGAAAAAGGUUGAGGGAAUGUGGCAUCCUUGGAUGUGUUAUAGCCCUUGGUUGUAUACAAUGGUUGGGAUUGAGGAACUCAGCACGCCGCAAGGCCGGGUUUAACC